This 1017-nucleotide long non-coding RNA is filed under the name Cervus hanglu yarkandensis (Yarkand deer). RNAcentral describes it as "lncRNA (ENSCHYG00000001845.1)". Lineage: Eukaryota; Metazoa; Chordata; Mammalia; Artiodactyla; Cervidae. The record is from RNAcentral.
AUGUCCACACCUCACGAUUUCGGCCCGGGAAAGAAAGCGAGCGGUGGAAAGCCUGGCCCCGAAGACAGAUCAAGCCCACAGGAAUCUGGCCCCUCGCAAGUCCCCUCCCACCUUUGGCCCCGACCCUUAACACUCCCUUCCUCCCUCCUUCCUUUGAAAGCAGGCCCUUGCCUCAGAAACCUCUUCUUCCUCGUCGUCGUCGUCCUCUUCUUCCUCGCUGUUGUUGCUGCUGGUGCCGCCGCCACCUCCUCCGCCGCCGCCGCCGCCUCCACCGCCGCCGCUGUUGUCGCUGUCGCUGCUGCUUUCGCUGCUGCUGGGGGGUCGGCAAGUCCGGUUACGCUUGGCCUUGUGGUGCUGCUGCUGCGGCGGCUUCUUCUUCAGGAGCAGAUCGCAGACUCGCACCAUCCCACGAGGAGACGAGGCCGAGCGAGCCCCGCUGCCGCCGCCAAUGCCGCUGCCGACCUCCGCUGCUGCUGCUGCUGCUGCUGCCGCCGCCGCCGCCGCCGCCGCCGCCGCGGGGGGGCCCGCCACAGCCGCCACCGCCGGGGGGCUCCCUUCUCCCUCAGCCGCCGCCGCUGCCGCCGCCACCGGAACCGUCGCCUUCUCCAUCUCCGGGGAAAGAGGGAGGGCGCGGACGGGGGAGGGGCGUGGGGGCUACGCUCUGCCGCGACUUCGGCCGCACCGGGGCCGACACAGCGCUCGGUGCCGCCUCCGCCGCCACCGCCUCGGUCACCUCUACUGCCGCCGCCGCCGCCGCCGCUCCGCCAGCUCUCACCUCGUCUCGCGAUACUAAGGGCGGGGAGCCUGACGAUGGGAGGGAGGGAGAGGGAGGGAGAGGGAGGGAGCGUGAGGGAGCAAGGCGGGGGGUGGGGGGAGCGAAGAGGGAGACCCGGGUGCCCGGAGAUCCAGCAGAGGGGAGACUACCGAGAGUCGGGGGAAGUGUGCCUAGGGCGACUUCCGAUGGGGGGGACGGCGGGGACAGAGGAGGGCCGCGGUGACUGCCGUAGCGCCCGCUAG